RNAcentral lists this ribosomal RNA (466 nucleotides) under uncultured bacterium. RNAcentral's name for it is "partial 16S ribosomal RNA". It matches the Rfam family "Bacterial small subunit ribosomal RNA", at positions 28 to 505 of the family's 1533-position model. The record is from RNAcentral.
GACGAACGCUGGCGGCGUGCUUAACACAUGCAAGUCGAACGGAAAGGCCCUGCUUUUGUGGGGUGCUCGAGUGGCGAACGGGUGAGUAACACGUGAGUAACCUGCCCUUGACUUUGGGAUAACUUCAGGAAACUGGGGCUAAUACCGGAUAGGAGCUCCUGCUGCAUGGUGGGGGUUGGAAAGUUUCGGCGGUUGGGGAUGGACUCGCGGCUUAUCAGCCUGUUGGUGGGGUAGUGGCUUACCAAGGCUUUGACGGGUAGCCGGCCUGAGCGGGUGCCCGGCCCCAUUGGGACUGAGAUGCGGCCCAGGCUCCUCCGGGAGGCUGCGGUGGAGCAUAUUGCACCAUCGGCGGAAGCCUGAUGCAGCACCGCCGCGUGCGGGAUGACGGCCUUCGGGUUGUACACCGCUUUCGCCUGCGACGAAGCGUGAGUGACGGUCAUGGGUAAAGAAGCACCGGCUCUCUACG